RNAcentral lists this long non-coding RNA (441 nucleotides) under Echeneis naucrates (live sharksucker). Its description in RNAcentral is "lncRNA (ENSENLG00000019548.1)". The record is from RNAcentral. Lineage: Eukaryota; Metazoa; Chordata; Actinopteri; Carangiformes; Echeneidae.
AGGAAGAAGGUCAUGCUUCUGGAGGAGCUAAAGAGAGACACUGCUGAGUUUGGCUGGCGGUUUGGAGCCAUAUACGGAAAGUCUGGAGUGUUUCCCAGUGAAUACGUCCGUCCUGUGGCUGCUCCAGACUUCUUGAUUCUCCCUGCUGAGCGUUUGGAGCCCCGAGACAGACAGGGACGAGUUGCUGCCUCUGCUGCUGUUGCCGUAGCGAUGGGCUCAGCAGUAGCUGCCCAUGAACUUGACCUUUCCACAGAGGUGGUAAAUGAAAUGUAUGGGGACAGUCUGGGCAUCGAACUGGACGAUCUGCCUCUACAUGGGGGCCAGUACCACAUGACUGAGUUUGCCAAGAAGUACUUCAGAGAGGCUCAGAGGAACAAGAGUGACCAGAAAGCCAAAAAAGUGAAGGAGGGCAGGGCCCCCUUUGACAUGGUCAAAUUCUCA